Molecule: ribosomal RNA, 484 nt
Filed under: uncultured bacterium
Lineage: Bacteria
Description: partial 16S ribosomal RNA
Rfam family: Bacterial small subunit ribosomal RNA
Source: RNAcentral
GACGAACGCUGGCGGCGUGCUUAACACAUGCAAGUCGAACGAUGAAGCCGGAGCUUGCUCUGGUGAAUUAGUGGCGAACGGGUGAGUAACACGUGAGUAACCUGCCCUUGACUCUGGGAUAACUGCUAGAAAUGGUAGCUAAUACCGGAUACGACCCUCGGCGGCAUCGCCAGGGGGUGGAAAGAAUUUCGGUCAAGGAUGGACUCGCGGCCUAUCAGCUAGUUGGUGAGGUAACGGCUCACCAAGGCGACGACGGGUAGCCGGCCUGAGAGGUUGACCGGCCACACUGGGACUGAGACACAGCCCAGACUCCGACGGGAGGCAGCAGUGGGGAAUAUUGCACAAUGGGCGCAAGCCUGAUGCAGCAACGCCGCGUGAGGGAUGCCGGCCUUCGGGUUGUAAACCUCUUUUAGUAGGGAAGAAGCGAAAGUGACGGUACCUGCAGAAAAAGCACCGGCUAACUACGUGCCAGCAGCCGCCGUAA